RNAcentral lists this ribosomal RNA (303 nucleotides) under uncultured bacterium. RNAcentral describes it as "bacterial SSU rRNA". It matches the Rfam family "Bacterial small subunit ribosomal RNA", at positions 355 to 655 of the family's 1533-position model. The record is from RNAcentral.
UGAGGAAUAUUGGUCAAUGGACGAGAGUCUGAACCAGCCAAGUAGCGUGAAGGAUGACUGCCCUAUGGGUUGUAAACUUCUUUUAUAUGGGAAUAAAAUGUUCCACGUGUGGGAUUUUGUAUGUACCAUAUGAAUAAGGAUCGGCUAACUCCGUGCCAGCAGCCGCGGUAAUACGGAGGAUCCGAGCGUUAUCCGGAUUUAUUGGGUUUAAAGGGAGCGUAGGUGGAUUGUUAAGUCAGUUGUGAAAGUUUGCGGCUCAACCGUAAAAUUGCAGUUGAAACUGGCAGUCUUGAGUACAGUAGA